Molecule: ribosomal RNA, 495 nt
Filed under: uncultured Acidobacteriota bacterium
Lineage: Bacteria; Pseudomonadati; Acidobacteriota
Description: bacterial SSU rRNA
Rfam family: Bacterial small subunit ribosomal RNA
Source: RNAcentral
UGGGGAAUCUUGCACAAUGGGGGAAACCCUGAUGCAGCGACGCCGCGUGAGUGAUGACGCCCUUCGGGGUGUAAAGCUCUUUCGGCAGGGACGAUAAUGACGGUACCUGAAGAAGAAGCUGCGGCUAACUACGUGCCAGCAGCCGCGGUAAUACGUAGGCAGCGAGCGUUGUUCGGAGUUACUGGGCGUAAAGAGUGCGUAGGCGGUUUUCUAAGUUUGGUGUGAAAUCUCCCGGCUUAACUGGGAGGGUGCGCCGAAGACUGGAAGGCUUGAGUAUGGGAGAGGUAAGCGGAAUUCCUGGUGUAGCGGUGAAAUGCGUAGAUAUCAGGAGGAACACCUGCGGUGUAGACGGCUUACUGGACCAUAACUGACGCUGAGGCACGAAAGCGUGGGUAGCAAACAGGAUUAGAUACCCUGGUAGUCCACGCCCUAAACGAUGCAUACUUGGUGUGGGUAGUUCAUUCUAUCCGUGCCGGAGCUAACGCGUUAAGUAUG